GUUGACUACCACAACUUCCCGUAAGGAAUAUGCCACUCACGUCAACGCUGUAGGUAACAAAUCUUGGCAGAGCUGCAGGGCUCUGCAAGUUGUUUGCAGCAGAUUUCCCUGACACAGUGAUGAAAUCUGUGGUGUUUUAUUUUCCCUUGUCUUCUGACAUCUGCAGCCUCAGUGGCAUUGGGCAUGAGGAGGAGUCUUCUUAUUUGAAAAAGUGGCAACAUGGGCCAAAAAGCACCAGCUCUGCUCCCAAGUCCUUGAGGAAUCUCACAGGACUGGCAAGAAAAGAAAAAACACCAUGAGUGUUUUGGCUCUUGGACAGGAGCUCUUACCACGAGAUCUGUGGCCACGCUGCAUGGACUGUUUCCAAGAGCUCAGUAAAAGGUAAGUUAGGAAGGAAGCUUGUUGUCUGCAGGCAGAAAUCCAAGUGAUCUG
RNAcentral lists this long non-coding RNA (432 nucleotides) under Apteryx rowi (Okarito brown kiwi). Its description in RNAcentral is "lncRNA (ENSARWG00000014338.1)". Lineage: Eukaryota; Metazoa; Chordata; Aves; Apterygiformes; Apterygidae. The record is from RNAcentral.